RNAcentral lists this ribosomal RNA (497 nucleotides) under uncultured bacterium. RNAcentral's name for it is "partial 16S ribosomal RNA". It matches the Rfam family "Bacterial small subunit ribosomal RNA", at positions 28 to 507 of the family's 1533-position model. The record is from RNAcentral.
GAUGAACGCUGGCGGCGUGCCUAAUACAUGCAAGUCGAGCGAACAGAUGAGGAGCUUGCUCCUCUGACGUUAGCGGCGGACGGGUGAGUAACACGUGGAUAACCUACCUAUAAGACUGGGAUAACUUCUGGAAACCGGAGCUAAUACCGGAUAAUAUAUUGAACCGCAUGGUUCAAUAGUGAAAGACGGUUUUGCUGUCACUUAUAGAUGGAUCCGCGCCGCAUUAGCUAGUUGGUAAGGUAACGGCUUACCAAGGCAACGAUGCGUAGCCGACCUGAGAGGGUGAUCGGCCACACUGGAACUGAGACACAGUCCAGACUCCUACGGGAGGCAGCAGUAGGGAAUCUUCCGCAAUGGGCGAAAGCCUGACGGAGCAACGCCGCGUGAGUGAUGAAGGUCUUCGGAUCGUAAAACUCUGUUAUUAGGGAAGAACAAAUGUGUAAGUAACUAUGCACGUCUUGACGGUACCUAAUCAGAAAGCCACGGCUAACUACGUG